GCACAUACUGUGAGCUCGAUGAGUAGGGCGGGACACGUGGUAUCCUGUCUGAAUAUGGGGGGACCAUCCUCCAAGGCUAAAUACUCCUGACUGACCGAUAGUGAACCAGUACCGUGAGGGAAAGGCGAAAAGAACCCCGGCGAGGGGAGUGAAAAAGAACCUGAAACCGUGUACGUACAAGCAGUGGGAGCCUCUUAAUGGGGUGACUGCGUACCUUUUGUAUAAUGGGUCAGCGACUUAUAUUCUGUAGCAAGGUUAACCGAAUAGGGGAGCCGAAGGGAAACCGAGUCUUAACUGGGCGUUAAGUUGCAGGGUAUAGACCCGAAACCCGGUGAUCUAGCCAUGGGCAGGUUGAAGGUUGGGUAACACUAACUGGAGGACCGAACCGACUAAUGUUGAAAAAUUAGCGGAUGACUUGUGGCUGGGGGUGAAAGGCCAAUCAAACCGGGAGAUAGCUGGUUCUCCCCGAAAGCUAUUUAGGUAGCGCCUCGUGAAUUCAUCUCCGGGGGUAGAGCACUGUUUCGGCAAGGGGGUCAUCCCGACUUACCAACCCGAUGCAAACUGCGAAUACCGGAGAAUGUUAUCACGGGAGACACACGGCGGGUGCUAACGUCCGUCGUGAAGAGGGAAACAACCCAGACCGCCAGCUAAGGUCCCAAAGUCAUGGUUAAGUGGGAAACGAUGUGGGAAGGCCCAGACAGCCAGGAUGUUGGCUUAGAAGCAGCCAUCAUUUAAAGAAAGCGUAAUAGCUCACUGGUCGAGUCGGCCUGCGCGGAAGAUGUAACGGGGCUAAACCAUG
This 799-nucleotide ribosomal RNA is filed under the name Escherichia coli. RNAcentral's name for it is "partial 23S ribosomal RNA". It matches the Rfam family "Bacterial large subunit ribosomal RNA", at positions 390 to 1191 of the family's 2925-position model. Lineage: Bacteria; Pseudomonadati; Pseudomonadota; Gammaproteobacteria; Enterobacterales; Enterobacteriaceae. The record is from RNAcentral.